CAAAAGUCUAUUCCCUGGAGUUUUGUGGCACAAGGGUUAGUUAACAGUACCUAAUAUGAGCCUUUCCAGCGAGGUUGAAGAGAAUUCUUCUGGAGUCAUCUUUUCCUACA
Ceratotherium simum simum (southern white rhinoceros) is the source of this 110-nucleotide non-coding RNA. NCBI's taxonomy places the organism in Eukaryota, Metazoa, Chordata, Mammalia, Perissodactyla, Rhinocerotidae. The record is from RefSeq and is a predicted model, not a curated record.